GAUGAACGCUGGCGGUAUGCUUAACACAUGCAAGUCGAACGGAGUGCCUAGUCACCUGUUGGCUGCCGGGUGGGUAACGCGUGAGGAUCUAGCCUCAGGUCCGGCACAUCCCCGUGAAAUGGUGGCUAAUACCGGAUGUGCCAUCUUGGUGGAAGAUCCAUUGCCUGAGGAUGGGCUCGCGUCUGGUUAGCUAGUUGGUGGGGUACAGGCUUACCAAGGCGACGAUCAGUGACUGGUCUGAGCGGAUGACCAGUCACACUGUGACUGAGACACGGCACAGACACGUACGGGAGGCAGCAGUAGGGAAGUAUACGGGAUGGGCGAAAGACUGACGGAGCAAGCGCGCGUGAGGGAGGAAGGCGGUUGGGUUGCAACUCUCUUUUCUGAGGGAAGAAGAAUGACGGUACCUGAUGAAGCAGCACCGGCUAACUACGUG
RNAcentral lists this ribosomal RNA (436 nucleotides) under uncultured bacterium. RNAcentral describes it as "partial 16S ribosomal RNA". It matches the Rfam family "Bacterial small subunit ribosomal RNA", at positions 28 to 507 of the family's 1533-position model. The record is from RNAcentral.